Molecule: transfer RNA, 74 nt
Filed under: Gemmataceae bacterium
Lineage: Bacteria; Pseudomonadati; Planctomycetota; Planctomycetia; Gemmatales; Gemmataceae
Description: tRNA-His
Rfam family: tRNA
About the family: Transfer RNA (tRNA) molecules are approximately 80 nucleotides in length. Their secondary structure includes four short double-helical elements and three loops (D, anti-codon, and T loops). Further hydrogen bonds mediate the characteristic L-shaped molecular structure. tRNAs have two regions of fundamental functional importance: the anti-codon, which is responsible for specific mRNA codon recognition, and the 3' end, to which the tRNAs corresponding amino acid is attached (by aminoacyl-tRNA synthetases). tRNAs cope with the degeneracy of the genetic code in two manners: having more than one tRNA (with a specific anti-codon) for a particular amino acid; and 'wobble' base-pairing, i.e. permitting non-standard base-pairing at the 3rd anti-codon position.
Source: RNAcentral
GUGGGUGUAGCUCAGCCGGUUAGAGCGUCAGAUUGUGGAUCUGAAGGUCGGGGGUUCGAGCCCCCUCAUCCACC